Molecule: long non-coding RNA, 834 nt
Filed under: Olea europaea (common olive)
Lineage: Eukaryota; Viridiplantae; Streptophyta; Magnoliopsida; Lamiales; Oleaceae
Description: long non-coding RNA (OEUR_LNC004645)
Source: RNAcentral
UGGUGGGCUUACACUAGCCCUCAUUAAUGAAACUUGCCCUCUCGACGUUGUUCAAGAGCAAGUGGAAGUAAAAAAUGGCCUUCCAUUGACAUUUACACCGGUCCAUCCUAAUAAAGGGCUGAUCCCUGUCUCCACUGAUCUAAACAUCAAGUUCUCGGCUUCCUCAACCUGCGUUCAGUCCACUGUAUGGAAGCUCGACGGAUCAGCCGGGAAAUAUUUCAUAACAACCGGUGGAGUUGAAGGCAAUCCCGGCCGCGAAACUAUAAGCAACUGGUUCAAGAUUGAAAAAUAUGAACGUGACUAUAAGAUUGUUUUCUGCCCUACGGUGUGUGACUAUUGCAGGGUUAUAUGCAAAGAUGUUGGUAUUAUCAUACAAGAUGGAUAUAGACGUCUGGCUUUGAGUACUACUGAUGAUGAUGUUCCAUUUAGAGUUAUGUUUAAGAAGGCUUGAAAGUUAAAUUAUAUCUUCGAUAUACUCAAAUUCUGAAACUUUAACAAGUACUUUUUAAGCAAACUUAAAUUAUAUGUAUGUAAUAAGGAAGAUUUUACGUCAUUCGGGGCAGAGGUGGUGGGCUUACACUAGCCCUCAUUAAUGAAACUUGCCCUCUCGACGUUGUUCAAGAGCAAGUGGAAGUAAAAAAUGGCCUUCCAUUGACAUUUACACCGGUCCAUCCUAAUAAAGGGCUGAUCCCUGUCUCCACUGAUCUAAACAUCAAGUUCUCGGCUUCCUCAACCUGCGUUCAGUCCACUGUAUGGAAGCUCGACGGAUCAGCCGGGAAAUAUUUCAUAACAACCGGUGGAGUUGAAGGCAAUCCCGGCCGCGAAACUAUAAGC